ACAUCCAGCGAAUUCGGUAGAGAUACCUUAGUGCCUUCGGGAACGCUGAGACAGGUGCUGCAUGGCUGUCGUCAGCUCGUGUUGUGAAAUGUUGGGUUAAGUCCCGCAACGAGCGCAACCCUUAUCCUUUGUUGCCAGCGGUCCGGCCGGGAACUCAAAGGAGACUGCCAGUGAUAAACUGGAGGAAGGUGGGGAUGACGUCAAGUCAUCAUGGCCCUUACGAGUAGGGCUACACACGUGCUACAAUGGCGCAUACAAAGAGAAGCGACCUCGCGAGAGCAAGCGGACCUCAUAAAGUGCGUCGUAGUCCGGAUUGGAGUCUGCAACUCGACUCCAUGAAGUCGGAAUCGCUAGUAAUCGUAGAUCAGAAUGCUACGGUGAAUACGUUCCCGGGCCUUGUACACACCGCCCGUCACACCAUGGGAGUGGGUUGCAAAAGAAGUAGGUAGCUUAACCUCCGGGAGGGCGCUUACCACUUUGUGAUUCAUGACUGGGGUGAAGUCGUAACAAGGUAGGCGUAGCGAG
Molecule: ribosomal RNA, 525 nt
Filed under: uncultured bacterium
Lineage: Bacteria
Description: bacterial SSU rRNA
Rfam family: Bacterial small subunit ribosomal RNA
Source: RNAcentral